UACGAAGGGGGCUAGCGUUGUUCGGAUUUACUGGGCGUAAAGCGCACGUAGGCGGAUUGCUAAGUCAGGGGUGAAAUCCUGGAGCUCAACUCCAGAACUGCCUUUGAUACUGGCGACCUUGAGUCCGGGAGAGGUGAGUGGAACUGCGAGUGUAGAGGUGAAAUUCGUAGAUAUUCGCAAGAACACCAGUGGCGAAGGCGGCUCACUGGCCCGGUACUGACGCUGAGGUGCGAAAGCGUGAGGAGCAAACAGG
Molecule: ribosomal RNA, 253 nt
Filed under: uncultured bacterium
Lineage: Bacteria
Description: partial 16S ribosomal RNA
Rfam family: Bacterial small subunit ribosomal RNA
Source: RNAcentral